ACCCGCCACUCCAAACCCCCCGACAGCCGCUGCCUCACGCCCGCGGCCGCCGCGCCUUUAUAAAGGGCCCUGCGGCGCGCGGCGCGCCGCCCAUUGGCUGCUGAGGAGGGCAAGGCGGGCACGUGACGCGGAGGCUGAGGGAGCGCGCGGGGGGUGGGGGCGAGGGGGCGCUGCGUGCGCGCGCACCGCGCAGGGGCGGGAAGGCGCGGCGGGGACGCGCACUGUGUCCGCGCCCUUCCCCCGGGUGUCCGUGAGGGCAGGGACGGGACCCGGGAGUUCUGCCCCGGGAAAUGGGGCCGCGGCCCUUUGCCCGGAAUGCUCCCGCCGUGCCUUGAACAGGGUGGUUUGUCUUCUCCAGAAUCGCUCCAGGCAAAGCAGGCUGCUGUGGAGCGCCAAGGACCAGGGACCUCUGCCCUGACACGGCCACACCGCUGCCCUCACUGCCGGCAAGGAAUGGCUUGGGGCAGUGGCUGUGAAGAAGGAGCAGCCCUUCCCUAGAAGGACAACGCGAUCCUGCCGCUUCCAGCCUCCCCUCCCUCUCCCCUCUCUUAGUUCCCGUCUUGUCCCUGUUCCACAUCUCUAGGGCAACGCUCAAUUUUGCAUGUCCUUCUGAGGUAUUACUCUGCUCCAGACUUACUCUUCGUGUACAUUUCCGAAUAUGGAAAGUACAUAAAUUUGACAGUAUUUUGAUUUCCUUGAUCAUCUCUCUGUUUAUAGAUGCCUGUGCUCUCACACCUUACCAUUUUUCAGGAUGCCCACUUUGCUGUGUGUUGUUGGCAGCAGAUGUUAGCAAGCCUUGAGGUGUUACAAUUAGCAUUCCCUCAGCAGCUGUAACAAAACAUGGGUUUUUGACUAUACUUACAUAUUUUCUCAGUUGGUAGGAUGUGUACAGCUAUGUACCAAAACCAGGAGAAGAAAAAAGGGAAAAUCUGCACUUAGUACCCAGAAGACUCAAGAGCUCUAAGCUCUUCUUGAAAUGUAAGAGUGUGGAAAGUACUGCCCUGUGACCCUCUGUGUGAAAACCAGCUAGAAAGAUAAAAUGAUGCCAUCCUUAGAAAUGCAAGUCUGUCAUGGUAGUGGUUGAAAUCACAGGGUAUUAAAAUUUUCAUGUAUUGGUGUUCUGUUUUGAGAAAUUUGUUUAUCCAAGAAUGGUAUGCCAUCAUUUUCACUUUGAGGCUUAUUUUAGAAGUAAAAAAAAAAAAAAAAAAGGCUUCUGAAAGAUGCCAUUAUACAUUAAAAACUUCAUUAAACAACAUGGAAAACAAAUUAUUUGCAUUCCUUUUUAACAGUACCAUAUGAUUAAAAAUAGAUUACCAGCAUGUGCUGAAAUAACAGCCAUUUACAUAAUUUUCUACUUGCAGCAAGAAUGACUGUAAGGCCCCAAGUUUGGAAAUUUUCUUACAGACUAUGUAAAGGUGCACUAUCAAGCCACCUUCUCACCUCGUCAGAAGGAAGAAGGCUGUGGGAAGACAGACCUCUGCUUGGGUGAAUUUGAGUCAUCACUCUACGAUACACAGAAAUGGGUUAGGAUGAAGUCAUCACUGAUCACCUCAUAUUCCUCUAAGCGAGGAGUUUGGAGUGGCUUCAUGUAUGACUUUCACAGAGAAUGUUGCUAGAAAUGUACCUAGAAAAAAAAUUCCACAAAAUAGUUAGCAUUUAGCACUUUUGGUCUUCAGAACAUCUUGUGCCCAUUAGUUCAAUUCUCCGUAAUUUGCUGUGAAAUUGAAAGGUUAAUGGUACAGCUUCCCUGUUUAUUGAUUUAAUUAUCCCUUUCUUCCUGAUUUAAGGCCAGGAGAGGAGCUACUUUUAGAGCUGGUCUUGGAAGUUGUAGCUCUGUCUCACAGUCUCCUGCUGAUAUAUCUGAACAUCAGACAAAAUUUGAAUUUUAAACUAUUAAAUGAGAAAAGAUUCUGGCCUAAGCAGCCAUAUAUAAAUCCCACAAAUUAAAGACAAAAUGCUAAAAUUUGGCUGACAUUUUGCUCCUCAAGCUUAUGUGAGUUUGCUGGUGUGCUGCCAGAAGUUGAAUGUUGCAAUUAAUUGGAAAGUUAGAUUUUUUCCUUCUCUUCAUCUUGCUGCUGCCAUGACCUUUUUGUGCACUUUGAGCAACAGUCCAUUUUUGCUGAUUCUAAAGAACAAAAAAAUAUUCUAAUUAAUAAAAACAUGUUGUUCCACAUUUAACAUUUUGCACCAGAGACUGAUAGAAAAGCAAUUACUUGUAACUACUUCAAGGUAUGCAAAGUCUCCCUGUUUCCCUGGAUGAAAGGAUUAUAAACGGAGUGUAACAAGAGACAUCAGUUCUUGUCUUAAUGUGCCUGUUGCCAGCAGUGGCUAAUUCUGCACUGCAGAACCAACAGGCAGCUGUGCAUUAUCACUGCAGCUAAAGUGCUGCAGUACUUACCCUAACACACGUUUCCAAAAAAAUACAUUUCCAGAGAAACACUGUUACAGGUCAUCAAAAUCAAUUUUCAUUUGAAAUCAAAUGUUUGCAAUAACCUUCUGGUUUAAAUAGGUUCUUGUUCCUGAUGUAUAAAUACUUUAUUGAUUCAUUUUUAUUGACUCAUUUUUACUGAAAGCUAGUUCAGGACCACAGGAUAAUAUUUCACUUGUUUUUGACUUGACUCCUUUAAUAUUCUUAUGACAUGCUUGCACAUAAUGUUACAGAAAUGCCGUGUUGCUCCUGUGCUUGUUGAAAAGAGCAGUUAGUCAUAAAACCUGUCUUAAAACUGAGUGCAUGGAUCAAACACUUCCCCUUGGCAGGCUGCCAUAGCAACCUGGAGAAGGAAAAAGGGGCAGAAGAAUCAUAUAAGUUUUGAGAGCAGAAAGAAAAGCCUAGCAAGGGAGAAAAUAAAGGAGACAAGCAAGGCAGGUAUGGAAUAAACAGGAAGGAUUGCACAGGACUAAACUGUGUUCUUUCCUUUUCCCAAGAGCAUUACAGAAGCAAUGACAGCAAUGUAAGUAUGGUGUUCCACAGAGCAGCAAUUUAUUUUUAGUGGAAAUCAGGAGCAUUAUGUGGCAAAAACAAAUGUGUCAGUAGAGCUCAGAGCAGAUGGAGUGCCUGCAAACAGCAGUGGCCUAUGCUCUGUGGUCUGCUUCAAAGGGAGAGUUUGGUUGUACAUUCAAGUUUUCUGCUGCCCUCUCAGGGAGUGUUUGCUGUGGGUGGUGCAUCUGUCCUGCCUCAACACAGCUGGGUUCCUGAGUACAGUGAACAUUUCUGAAGUUUUACAAUGAGCUCUGCAAAAGGUGAUUUUAAAAGAACGCCUAAGAGUAUCAACUUUACAGUAAGCCAGCAGCACUGAGAAACAGGAUUCGUCUCUCCCCUGCCCUUUCUAAAGGCAAGUCCAAUGGCAAAUCACAGACAAUUGCUUGCAGUGGGUAUUUUGCUGUCACUGUGGGAUUCACGGGUAGUUUAAUUUAUUUUAUCUCCCCUGGAUGCCCUUUGUAUCUGCACUUAUAAUUCCUUUCUGAAAUGAAGCAAUGGGUCUGACUCAUUCAACAGUUCAGAUCCAACUUCCUAGACUCAGAGAGUAAUUGAGGUGAGACAGGACCUGCUGAAAGCAGGGACACCUUCAAAGCUAGGCCAGGUUGUUCAGGCACUUGAUCAGUCCUGUUUUGGACAUCUUUGAGGACUGAGGUUCUCCAGUCUGCCUGGGCCCCAGCUCCAGUAUUUCACCACUUUCAUUUUAAAGAUUUUUAAUUUUUAAGUUAAUCAGAAUCUUCCAUGUUAAGCUUGCGUCUGUUCUUUCUUGCCCCUCAGGACUUCUUUGUGCCAUCCUAUAUGUUGUUGUGCACUAGUUUCCACUCUUCACCUGGGCUGGUUUUUCAGGGUCUGGUAUCCAGUUUGGGGAAUACAGCAUUUUGACAGCUUGAUGAAGUAAAGGAAAUUCUGUAAAAAAAUAAUUUUUUGGCCAGCUUCAAGAAUGAUACUUAGGACAUUAUCAGUGUCUGGCUAUGAGGAAGUAGUUUCAGGAUAUCAGGAAGCUGGAUCCAGCAAUUACUGUGGUUUUGAAGGGUCUGAUCCCUUUUCCAGCUGUAGUCCAUAAUUUUUCAUAUUUCCUUGUUACUGUCAUUUUAAAAAGUAACUACAUUUGCAGUUAUAAUGGCUGCCAUACAAAAGAUUCAACAGACUUCAGGGGAAAUAGUAGAGAUUGACAUUGGGAGGGGAAUCUGCCUGCAUUUUUCCGUAGAGAGAAUAGCUUACACUUUUCAACAGAUAAAAUAUUGUUUACCUAAUGCUGCUGGAGCAAUGAUUUCCUGGAUUC
Molecule: long non-coding RNA, 4259 nt
Filed under: Catharus ustulatus (Swainson's thrush)
Lineage: Eukaryota; Metazoa; Chordata; Aves; Passeriformes; Turdidae
Description: lncRNA (ENSCUSG00005006612.1)
Source: RNAcentral